Xenia sp. Carnegie-2017 is the source of this 2960-nucleotide RNA transcript. RefSeq lists it as uncharacterized. The record is from RefSeq and is a predicted model, not a curated record. Lineage: Eukaryota; Metazoa; Cnidaria; Anthozoa; Malacalcyonacea; Xeniidae. The transcript is spliced from 11 exons.
AUGUGCUGACUCUGAAAUCAUGACACCACAAGCGGAUUAAUCAGAGUGAAACAUACCUUUCAACUUUAUUCAUCUCCUCAAAAACUGGCUGUGUGCUUGGGGAAUUGGGCAAACACUAUCGUUUUCUUUUUGUCAUUUUCAUACUGGUACGUAUACUUAAACCUUUUACAUAAGACCUCUUUUCUGGUGGCGCAAAUCUUGCACUGUGGAAGUUGACAUUGCAUAUCGCAUGUCAAGGUUGGAUUUGGCAAAAUUCUUCGAAUAUCGGACGAGUUCCUGCGCGUAUUUUCUUUGCCAGUCGCUAAACGAAUCUGUUUACAAUAUCUUUGGUUUCCACAAUCCAUAAUUCAUUUUCCCACUUGGAAUAAUUACACUAAAAGUUAUGAAUAUUCUGAAAUAAACGCACUGAAAUGAGUCGAAGCUUUGCCAACUGCUGUGGCCAGAAUUAUCCGAAGAUGAAAACCAUCUUGUCAAGAAAUAUUUCGUCGAAAUAAACUUCAAUACGUGUCAGGUAAAUUUGUGCUGUCACCUUUCAAUGGCACCGUCUUGUAAGAAGAGAAAGUUUUUCGAAGAGGAAAAAAGAUGCCAACGUUACUGUACUCGAUCUUAUGUCAAGCAAUUGCACUUUUCUAUGCCUGUGGAUCAAAUGGGUCCCUUGUUUGGAUCAUUACCAACAGAAAUGCUGACGUAUGUCCUGUCAUAUCUUGAUGCUCCUUCUUUAGCAUGUUUUGGUGCUACUUGUAAAACAUUGUAUGGUUAUUGUGAAGAAAUGUGGAGACCUCUAUGUAAUAGACUCAACCUUGAACAACAACCUACCGUCCUCUGUGUUCAAAAACCUUUGAAAAUUAAUUCUAUAUACAACUAUGAUCGUGCGGUGGAACUUUGCAUCAGUAAAAAGCGUUAUAAAAUAUCCGCUAUCAGAAAUUGGUUGUUCUCAAGGUGGAGAUGUGUUAUAUGUUAUCGUACUGGUUCACAACGUAUUGAUAUCCAUGUUGAUGUAACACUUUGUGAAACGUGUCAUCUGAUCUUUUAUCGUCGUAAAUGUCAUGCCAAGGAACAAUUUAGUUUAACCGAGAAGGAUCUAAGGAUCAUUGACAGCGAAUCAUAUGAAUUCCUUGUUUCUGACCUUAUCACAAUUGCCCGAGCAAAGUAUGGAGGCAGCCACGGUCUUAAGCAAAGACUUGAUAGUCGAAAGCAGCAGAAAGAAGAGCGGGAAUCUGACAAACAGUGCUCCUUGAUUACCAGAGAAAAUCUUGUUGUCUCUGCUCUCUGUCAUCAAGGUAGUUCAUAUGAAGAAAUCUCUGUGGUGGACUUUCGUUGCAUGCCUUUUGUUGGUAGUCCACCAAGCUAUCCAGGUUUGGAACAGCAGGCCGAGGAUGCUGCCAAAUGGUUGAUCUCGUGCAAGAACAGACAGGAAACAAGGUACAAAACCCUUGUGGACGAGAUAAAAGUGAGAUCAGGUCGAUGCAAAGGCUGCCAGGCUAGGGUGGACUUCAGGUUGGCGCCUCACAACGCUGUGUGUUUACACGUGACGUCCACAGAAGGCCAAACUAAAAUGAAAUCGAUUUUGUCAAAGUUUAAGGAAGAUAUUGCACAUUACAGCAAGCAUGGCUUACUACAUUUGGAGUCGGGUCCUUACGAUAUUGAAGAAAAAUCAGCCCUGGAACUUAUGAAUAGACACGAUCGCAUGUGUAAACUUCAAAAAGAGUUAGAUGAAAGAAAGGAUUCUUGGCCAGAUAUACUUAAAGAAGACAAAAACCCCAUGUUCAGCCAGCUUGCCCAGGAUUACAUUUACAAAGGUGUCUCCCAUCUCGAGAACAAAGGUUCGAGAUUUCAGUUGAGAAAAGCCAUGGACGUCGCUCGAGUCAUCAUUACAACAGCUAAUGGAUGGGACGCGAGAAAGAAAGAAAUGGAAAACAGUCUUGCGGAGAAAGGCGUUCCUUCACCAACAAAAAUUCUGAAACUGGAGAGUCAAAUGUUGAUUGACGAUUUCAUCGACAAUUCUGUUGUGGUUCGUGGUGAACAUAUUCUUGCGUGUUCUGCUGCAGAAGUUGCCGAAAAAGUUUCGGUGAUCGAGGGCCACGAGAAGGAACAACCUUCGUCUGUCGCUCGACGAUGUGCGAGAAUUUAUGCUGAAUGUAAUCCAAAACCAGAUUUUAAACAGUUGCAAUUACAAAGAAAAAAGGAUUUGCUGAGGAGUCUAAGCAGUAUAAUGCCUAUCACCUCUUACGAAGAUCUCGAAAACUCUUCCUGUCUUCGCACUGCGAAUGAUUUUAUUAAUUGUGGCACUACGACAUCUUUGUUUGGUUACAAGAUGAACACGCCAAACUCCGUCGCUUCCCUUAUAAAAUUGAAACAAGAGAUUUACAUGAACCAAGGGAAACGAACAAAUGCCGCGGAGACAUAGGAAAAAUCCAGAUAAAGUUCUUCCUUGCAUUUCUAGGAAAGGAGAGAAAGUUCCAAAUGUUUCCCUGACCUUUUUGCGAAAAUAAAUCGAUUCCCUACACGAGUAACAAGAGGCCCAAUCCAUGCGUGCAAGAAAAACUGGCCACUUUGCAUCCAAAGUCGAAGAUUAUGUGACAUAUUUGGUGGUGGAAAAUUUAAAUAUACACCAAUAAAGACAGCACUUCCAACCAAAAAAAUUCUUUUAAAGAUAGCAAAAAAUAUUCAGCAAGAAAGUUCCCGAAAAUCCCAAAUAUAAACACAUUAAACGCAUUGUGGACACAGGUAGGUACUCUCGUACCUAAGAGUUCAAACUUGACUGUUUUUAUUUGAGACCCGAAACUUAUUUUUUCACGUCGACUCAAAGACCUGCAUUAUUGCAUUUCGUAGUGUUGGAUUUUAUUAUCAUUAAAAUUCUCCUUUCAUUUAGCUCAUGAUCGUUAAAUUAUUUUCAUAAUACGAAGGCCUUCAUAAUUGCCGUUUAAUUAUAGAUGUUAAAUCAUAACGCUACUUUUACA